Molecule: small RNA, 102 nt
Filed under: Filifactor alocis ATCC 35896
Lineage: Bacteria; Bacillati; Bacillota; Clostridia; Peptostreptococcales; Filifactoraceae
Description: Clostridioides difficile sRNA included into helicase gene
Rfam family: Clostridioides difficile sRNA included into helicase gene
About the family: This element was identified by RNA deep sequencing of Clostridioides difficile 630 where it is located within gene CD0749 (putative DNA helicase, UvrD/REP type) in the same direction as the gene. A strong transcription start site for this RNA was experimentally confirmed, in the 3' region of gene CD0749.
Source: Rfam by way of RNAcentral
AGAGCCGUAUAUGAUGAGUAUGAACUGGAAGAAGAAAGAAGACUCUGUUAUGUAGGGAUUACUAGGGCAAAAGAAAAAUUAUAUCUUACUUACACCGGGGAA